RNAcentral lists this ribosomal RNA (783 nucleotides) under Bacillus halotolerans. Its description in RNAcentral is "bacterial SSU rRNA". It matches the Rfam family "Bacterial small subunit ribosomal RNA", at positions 46 to 808 of the family's 1533-position model. The record is from RNAcentral. Lineage: Bacteria; Bacillati; Bacillota; Bacilli; Caryophanales; Bacillaceae.
AUACUGUACAUGCGAGUCGAGCGGACAGAUGGGAGCUAUGCUCCCUGAUGUUAGCGGCGGACGGGUGAGUAACACGUGGGUAACCUGCCUGUAAGACUGGGAUAACUCCGGGAAACCGGGGCUAAUACCGGAUGCUUGUUUGAACCGCAUGGUUCAAACAUAAAAGGUGGCUUCGGCUACCACUUACAGAUGGACCCGCGGCGCAUUAGCUAGUUGGUGAGGUAAUGGCUCACCAAGGCAACGAUGCGUAGCCGACCUGAGAGGGUGAUCGGCCACACUGGGACUGAGACACGGCCCAGACUCCUACGGGAGGCAGCAGUAGGGAAUCUUCCGCAAUGGACGAAAGUCUGACGGAGCAACGCCGCGUGAGUGAUGAAGGUUUUCGGAUCGUAAAGCUCUGUUGUUAGGGAAGAACAAGUACCGUUCGAAUAGGGCGGUACCUUGACGGUACCUAACCAGAAAGCCACGGCUAACUACGUGCCAGCAGCCGCGGUAAUACGUAGGUGGCAAGCGUUGUCCGGAAUUAUUGGGCGUAAAGGGCUCGCAGGCGGUUCCUUAAGUCUGAUGUGAAAGCCCCCGGCUCAACCGGGGAGGGUCAUUGGAAACUGGGGAACUUGAGUGCAGAAGAGGAGAGUGGAAUUCCACGUGUAGCGGUGAAAUGCGUAGAGAUGUGGAGGAACACCAGUGGCGAAGGCGACUCUCUGGUCUGUAACUGACGCUGAGGAGCGAAAGCGUGGGGAGCGAACAGGAUUACAUACCCUGGGUAGUCCACCCCCGUAAACG